Diorhabda carinulata is the source of this 394-nucleotide long non-coding RNA. RefSeq lists it as uncharacterized. The transcript is spliced from 2 exons. NCBI's taxonomy places the organism in Eukaryota, Metazoa, Arthropoda, Insecta, Coleoptera, Chrysomelidae. The record is from RefSeq and is a predicted model, not a curated record.
UAAGGAUUCUCCUCAGAGUUUUUUGUGAAUACAAGUUUCAUUCAGUUCGUUAUAUCAUUAUUUAAAUCGUGAGUUUCAAUAUUUAAGAAGAGUGUGAAUUAUUUUGAAGUUACCAACUUUUAAGGUAUAAUACAGUUCAUGGAAAGAAACUCUUCGUAGGAAGCUGGAAAAUUUGGAAACGAUGCACGCUUUCUACGCCGAGAACGUUGGAUACAAAAUAAAAAUGAACAGGGCCGGACCUCGACGAGGACGGAACCACCGGUCGGUUGAAAUUAGUAAGGAGACUACACGUAAAAUAAUGUGAAUCGUUUCAAAAUGGAUUUGUAUAAAAAUUGUAUCGAAAUUUUUUAUUUUCGAAGAUACACUUACAAAAAUAUUGUUUUGAAGGCAAAAA